UUAAGUUCAGCGGGUAUCCUCGUCUGAUUCGAGGUCAAAGUCAGUGUGGCAUUGGAUGCCGGAAUUGGGUGGUCACUAGGCUUCCGAACGACAGGUGGUUUACUAGUCCUUGCGGUCGCGGCGUGGCCCGCUAGCUUUCUACGCGUUUAAGCGGGGGAAGGACAGGCCGCACCGAAGCGCGGCGGUCCCGGAUCCCCCGC
RNAcentral lists this unclassified non-coding RNA (200 nucleotides) under Orbiliomycetes sp. Its description in RNAcentral is "partial internal transcribed spacer 2". The record is from RNAcentral. Lineage: Eukaryota; Fungi; Ascomycota; Orbiliomycetes.